CCGGAGGUCUGAGUGAAAUAGCACUUUCGGAUUGUACUUUCAGCCACACCACGCUGAGGAAAGUGCAGAAGCUCUGUAUAUGCGUGUGUGAGAGGGAUUCAUGAAAUGCCUAUGACAGUUUGCAUACAAGACUCGGUGACAAAGUAGGAACCACAGGUGAGUCCCCAAGAGAUCUGCUUUGCGGAGAGGAUUUUUCUAGCCCCUAACCACAGAGGAGAAGCAUUCAUCUCUCCAACUGCUCCCCAGAGUUGGCGGUUCCGAUUUGUUUCAACUAAAAAUAACCAAGAAUAGAAAAUGGCAUGCAAUAAAAAGUCCCCAGCCAAGUAGCCGCGUGUGCUGCGCUUCCUCUUAAAUAAGCGCUCCCUCGUGGGCUGAGGUCUCGGUCCUCGGGCGGGAGAAAGGGCUGCAAAGGGUUAAGCCCCUGACCUGCUUGCCAGGCAAAGUUUGAGGAAGAAUAUGUCUGAGGCUGAGUACGCCGCAGCCCCGCGUUUGAAAUCUGUCACCCUCACUUAGGAGCUCCACAUCUCUGGUUGUCACCGGUGAAUAAUGAUCCCACGGCGAUAAGAUCGCUCCGCGGCGUUGCGCCGGAGCCGCCGGGGAGGAAGAGAAGAAAGGAAAUUACGAGGCGUUUAACCGCUUUAGCAGGGUGUUCUUCUGUGUCAUCGGUGGGUGUCAGGGUCAAAUGACCGACUGGACAGCAGCUUGGAAAGAAAAUUUCCUUCUUCCUUUCCCCGAGAGAAACGUUGGGUGAUGGUGGCCAUUGGCAGCUAUGGAAAACAGAGACCUUGGUGGUGAUCCUUAAAAUAAUACCAUGCCGGAGCCCAGCUGUUCUGCCACUUUCUCCCCUUUCAACCUGCCAGACCCGGUGGGCUUUGGGUGACCUAUCGAGGAGGACCCACCUCCGCAGGAGCAGGCAGGCCAGAUCUGGCAGAUAGCUGAUAUGAGGACUUUGCUGACUUCAGAAAGCUGAGUGUAACACCAACAGACUUCAGUGAAAGGAGAUAUUAUCCCUCCAAGCAACUCAUACACAGAAAACUUUUGGUAGCUUUAAAUUAACCUGUUGCUCACCUGCAAAGAUAAGGCUAUUGUUUCUUUCAGCACACAUGGAGGAAGGCAACAAACUUUGUAACCCUGGCUAAUAAGACUGUGGCUUUCUUAUCAAAAGUAGGAGGUAGGCCAAUUAUAAAAGGAUUAUUUUAUACUUAACCUCCAGGACUUUAACUCUGAACACUGGACAUAAAUAGAAGCCAAUUUUAAUGACCUGAGAUUUUUGCUACCCGUGCUUUAUUAUUGUUAUCAGUUCUUUACCACUUUGGUAC
RNAcentral lists this long non-coding RNA (1319 nucleotides) under Bubo bubo (Eurasian eagle-owl). RNAcentral's name for it is "lncRNA (ENSBOBG00000011610.1)". The record is from RNAcentral. Lineage: Eukaryota; Metazoa; Chordata; Aves; Strigiformes; Strigidae.